Molecule: ribosomal RNA, 442 nt
Filed under: uncultured bacterium
Lineage: Bacteria
Description: bacterial SSU rRNA
Rfam family: Bacterial small subunit ribosomal RNA
Source: RNAcentral
CCUACGGGGGGCACCAGUGGGGAAUCUUGGACAAUGGGCGAAAGCCCGAUCCAGCAAUAUCGCGUGAGUGAAGAAGGGCAAUGCCGCUUGUAAAGCUCUUUCACCGGUGAAGAUAAUGACGGUAACCGGAGAAGAAGCCCCAGCUAACUUCGUGCCAGCAGCCGCGGUAAUACGAAGGGGGCUAGCGUUGUUCGGAAUUACUGGGCGUAAAGCGCGCGUAGGCGGAUAGAUAAGUCAGAGGUGAAAUCCCGGGGCUCAACCCCGGAAUUGCCUUUGAUACUGUUUAUCUUGAGUGCAGAAGAGGUAAGUGGAAUUCCGAGUGUAGAGGUGAAAUUCGUAGAUAUUCGGAGGAACACCAGUGGCGAAGGCGGCUUACUGGUCUGCAACUGACGCUGAGGCGCGAAAGCGUGGGGAGCAAACAGGAUUAGAUACCCCAGUAGUC